RNAcentral lists this ribosomal RNA (406 nucleotides) under uncultured bacterium. RNAcentral describes it as "partial 16S ribosomal RNA". It matches the Rfam family "Bacterial small subunit ribosomal RNA", at positions 30 to 526 of the family's 1533-position model. The record is from RNAcentral.
AUUGAACGCUGGCGGCAGGCCUAACACAUGCAAGUCGAACGAGUGGCGGACGGGUGAGUAAUGUCUGGGCAACUGCCCGACGGAGGGGGAUAACUACUGGAAACGGUAGCUAAUACCGCAUACCAUCGGAUGUGCCCACAUGGGAUUAGCUAGUUGGUGGGGUAACGGCUCACCUAGGCGACGAUCCCUAGCUGGUCUUAGAGGAUGACCAGUCACACUGGAACUUAUACACGGGCCAGACUCCUACGGGAGGAAGCAGUGGGGAAUAGUGCACAAUGGGCGCAAGCCUGAUGCAGCCAUGCCGAGUGUAUGAAGAAGGCCUUCGGGUUGUAAAGUACUUUCAUCGGGGAGGCGUUACUCGCAGAAGAAGCACCGGCUAACUCCGUGCCAGCAGCCGCGGUAAUAC